GGCGAACGCUGGCGGCGUGCCUAAUACAUGCAAGUUGAGCGAUGAAGAUUGGUGCUUGCACCAAUUUGCAGAGCAGCGAACGGGUGAGUAACGCGUGGGGAAUCUGCCUUUGAGCGGGGGACAACAUUUGGAAACGAAUGCUAAUACCGCAUAACAACUUUAAACAUAAGUUUUAAGUUUGAAAGAUGCAAUUGCAUCACUCAAAGAUGAUCCCGCGUUGUAUUAGCUAGUUGGUGAGGUAAAGGCUCACCAAGGCGAUGAUACAUAGCCGACCUGAGAGGGUGAUCGGCCACAUUGGGACUGAGACACGGCCCAAACUCCUACGGGAGGCAGCAGUAGGGAAUCUUCGGCAAUGGACGAAAGUCUGACCGAGCAACGCCGCGUGAGUGAAGAAGGUUUUCGGAUCGUAAAACUCUGUUGGUAGAGAAGAACGUUGGUGAGAGUGGAAAGCUCAUCAAGUGACGGUAACUACCCAGAAAGGGACGGCUAACUACGUG
RNAcentral lists this ribosomal RNA (497 nucleotides) under uncultured bacterium. RNAcentral's name for it is "partial 16S ribosomal RNA". It matches the Rfam family "Bacterial small subunit ribosomal RNA", at positions 28 to 507 of the family's 1533-position model. The record is from RNAcentral.